Molecule: RNA transcript, 1862 nt
Organism: Drosophila biarmipes
Lineage: Eukaryota; Metazoa; Arthropoda; Insecta; Diptera; Drosophilidae
Gene: CNT1
Gene name: sodium/nucleoside cotransporter 1
Exons: 7
Source: RefSeq, a predicted model, not a curated record
GGGCUGUGGGUUGUUAGUCACAAAGAAUACACACUUUCCUGGACAAAACACUCUACUCAAAUUCAACUCGAGAUGGCUGAUCAGGCACCAGAAGAAGAGACCCCGCCGGAAAAGCCACCACGGUCGAAGGCGAUGAGAAUCGUCCUUAUAGUUCUUCAUGUCCUGCUCCACAUAGUCUUCAUAGCGCACUUUACGGCAGCCACAGUCAUGUUCAUAGUGUUCGACAGGGACUCCGACGAAUGCAGUUCUCGAGCAUCGAAGAAGAACAUUCUGUGCGAUAUCAACUGGUGCCAUGGGUAUGGGUUCCUCAUAGUUAUUUUCGUCUUGUUCUAUAUACUCUGGCUGUAUUACUGGGUAUUCAAGCCAUAUGUGGGCAUCAAGCUGUAUAACAAUUACCUGGAACCAGCGAUUGACAAAUGGAUUGUGUUCAGUCGCCAGUUGAUAGUUUCCGGCAUAAUGCUGCUGAUUGUGAUCUCACUGGCGGUGGCCUACCUCGGCUAUGAGUGCCGCUAUGAUGGCACCAAGGCCAUAGGCCUGGCGGGACCCGUGUCCUUCAUCCUGAUUGGAUUCGCGGUGUCCAAGCACCACAAAAGGGUUCCCUGGCGCAUCGUGACCCAUGGUAUCCUAGGUCAGCUCCUGCUGGGCAUCUUUUGCCUGCGUGUCCCCUUCGGCCGCGCCAUUUUCGAAUGUCUGGGCGAGAAGGUGACUAUUUUUCUGAACUUCGCCCAGCACGGAGCCCGCUUCGUGUACGGCGAUCGCAUAUGUGACGACUAUGUGUUCGCCUUUGCCAUUCUGGCGGUGGUGUUCUUCUUCAGCGUGGUCUCGAGCAUCAUGUACUAUUUGGGCUGGAUGCAGUUCAUCCUGAGCGGCCUGGGGUUCUUGCUGCAGGCCAUGGUGGGCACCACGGUCUGUGAGAGCGUGAACGCAGCGGCUAACAUCUUCGUGGGCAUGUCCGAGAGCCCCCUGGUCAUCCGGCCGUACAUCCUCAUACUGACCGUGAGCGAGUUGCACACCAUCUGCACCUCCGGUUAUGCCACGGUGGCGGGCACCGUUCUGGGGGCCUAUGUGAGCUUCGGGGCCUCACCCGCCUUCCUGAUCACGGCCAGCGUGAUGGCUGCUCCGGGCUCCCUGGCCUUCUCCAAGCUGUUUUACCCCGAAACCGAGGAGUCGCUGACCAGGUCCGACAACAUACAGCUGGAAAAAUCGGAAGAUACGUCUAUUUUGGAUGCAGCCGCCAGCGGAGCAGCGGCAGCCUUGAUGAUUGUGCUGGGAAUUGUGUCGAACAUCAUUGCCUUUCUGGCCAUACUGUUCUUCCUUAACGCCCUAACCGAGUGGACUUUUGAGCUGGUCGGUCUGAAGAACAUCACCCUGCUCUUCCUGCUCUCUCAGGCGUUUGUCCCAAUAGUCUUCCUGAUGGGUGUGCCGUGGCGGGACUGUCAAGAAGUUGGGAUGGUGGUGGCCGAGAAAUCGCUGAUCAACGAGUUCAUCGCCUACAAGCACCUGGGGCAGUUGGUAAAGGACAAUAAGAUAGGGUCAAGGAGCGCUUCGAUUGCCACCUUUGCGCUGUGCGGAUUCGCCAACCCCGGCUCACUGGGCAUCCUCAUCGCUGCCCUGAGUGCAAUGGCACCUACACGACGUUCAGAUAUUACUCGAGUUGCCCUUCGAGCAUAUUUUGCUGGCAGUUUUGUCAGCUUUACAUCGGCAUCGUUUGCGGGUAUUCUAAUUCAAGACGAUUUUAUAUCCUAAAGCGAUAAAAAAUACUUGCAUCACACUGUGUAAACCAGAAUUACCCUGAAGGAAAUUGAAAUUAUCCCAGUCGGCUUCAUCGAAGGCCCCACUAGACUGGCCCAGUUGGAGUGAGC